RNAcentral lists this ribosomal RNA (201 nucleotides) under uncultured bacterium. RNAcentral describes it as "partial 16S ribosomal RNA". It matches the Rfam family "Bacterial small subunit ribosomal RNA", at positions 30 to 226 of the family's 1533-position model. The record is from RNAcentral.
AUUGAACGCUGGCGGCGUGCCUAACACAUGCAAGUCGAGCGGUAACAGGGUGUAGCAAUACAUGCUGACGAGCGGCGAACGGGUGAGUAAUGCUUCGGAAUCCUGCCCAUGUAGUGGGGAAUAACCAGCCGAAAGGUUGGCUAAUACCGCAUACGACCUACGGGUGAAAGCAGGGGAUCGCAAGACCUUGCGCUAUUGGAU